Molecule: long non-coding RNA, 667 nt
Organism: Epinephelus moara (kelp grouper)
Lineage: Eukaryota; Metazoa; Chordata; Actinopteri; Perciformes; Serranidae
Exons: 5
Source: RefSeq, a predicted model, not a curated record
CCUGGAUUGAGAGGGGGACCAGGGCUCACGACACCCUAACCAGCAUUGUGAAAGACAAACGGUGGCUAAAAAAUGUCCAUAAGUUCCUGAACUUCAAAUCUACAUCUGAGCUGGAAUCUUUUCAAAACCAUAUUUUAAUGUAUGCAUCAAAGAGGUUUUCUUACUCCCCCCUGUCUAUGAGGCAAGGACCAUCCUUGCUGCGCUGGACUACAACUACCACAAGAAUCGUCCAGCCAAAAUAAACGCACAUGGAAAGAAGAUGGGCAGAGUGUUCAAGAAGAGGUCCAAUCGAUGGACCUUGUACACUGAAAAAACUCCAAAGACAUACAGUUACAUUCCCAACCUGCAGAGGCAUAUACUGGAAAAAGAGGGUGUCAUCAGAAGGAGGUCUCCCAAAAGUCAUGAAGCAAAGACCCAGUGAUCCCCGGAGACUUGGACUUCUCCCUGUCCUUCCACCACCAUCGACCCAAGACCUUGUUCAGGCCCAUGUCAGCUGAGGUCAUGGACCUGUCUUGCAGCAGAGUCCAACAGCUGUUGAUUAGAUGGAAUCACAGACAUCAAGGUGUUGCAGAGAGGACCCAGCUGUGAGAACACACCACACCACAAAGAUGCCUGUAGAAUCUCUCAGGGUUACUCCUUUUUAGACAGUCUCCCAAUUUGUUAUUAC